Molecule: long non-coding RNA, 319 nt
Filed under: Mytilus galloprovincialis (Mediterranean mussel)
Lineage: Eukaryota; Metazoa; Mollusca; Bivalvia; Mytilida; Mytilidae
Source: RNAcentral
CAUGUCAUAAAUCAAUAUAGUGGUCAGUGACCGGAAAUUUAAUUACACGUGUAUUGUCAGAUUAACUAUUCAAUCCAUUUAAAUCCCGGAGGUCAUGUUUUGACAUAUGUGUAUUAGUUCGAGAUAAAAAAUGAAUUUUGAAUGCUUUUGUUAACCUUGGGACCGUAAAUUUAGUUCGACUCAACCGAAAUUUCGACUCAUCAGGAGUCGAAUUACAUACUUUUGUAUGGAAUAAAGUUCGGGACCACGUGAAAACUUCGACUCAUCCGAAAUUUCGAGUCAACCGAGUUCGUAACAACGAGAGUUAACUGUAUUCGGC